UAGUCUAGAACUGAAAUCACAAAAUCACAAAAUGUGCUUAUUGUGAUAACGUAAGGGAAAAAAUGGAUAUUACCUUACUAUUAGUGUUGUCUAAAUAACUGGUGCCAGAAGACUCGGUAACACCAGUAAACAGCGUAACGUUAGUCUGUCUUAAACAAUGCGUAAAGGGUAAGUAAGCUGCUUUAAAGUCUAUUUUGAAAUAAGCUAAUUAAUAAUAAUCCUCCACACCCGUACUGGACCCUAGACUUUUGUUUUUAACUAAACCCCUCUCUGCCCUAUGGUCUGGGACNGGGUUUUUNAACAAAGAAUANAGUANGAGGGAGGCCCUUACUAANANACUACAAAUUUUCANAUCUUUAAUAAUAAAUUAAUGUCAACUAAAAUUGAAAAUAGGGUAUUAUUAGGCCCAGCCAAAGGACAGGGAGCUAUAAUGUUUAAUAUAAAAAACAAAAAUAGAUACAGCUUGAAAUCUAGAAAUUCAUAAUUGAGAAGUAAAACC
This 499-nucleotide ribosomal RNA is filed under the name Inocybe erinaceomorpha. Its description in RNAcentral is "16S ribosomal RNA". Lineage: Eukaryota; Fungi; Basidiomycota; Agaricomycetes; Agaricales; Inocybaceae. The record is from RNAcentral.